This 7230-nucleotide long non-coding RNA is filed under the name Gossypium barbadense (sea-island cotton). RNAcentral describes it as "long non-coding RNA (GBAR_LNC009959)". The record is from RNAcentral. Lineage: Eukaryota; Viridiplantae; Streptophyta; Magnoliopsida; Malvales; Malvaceae.
CCCUUAGUCAAUCUUCCAACGGCUGGAAACUAUUAAUCUCUCUUGACAUUUUUUAUCAACUGUCCCAUCUGUUCUAUUCUUUUGACAACAGCACUGCCCAAUAUUUCAUUCUUUGCUAUCUGCUUUUAGAAACAAGUUCUCUCCCAAUCUUCUUAGUUUGGGUUUCUUGCCCAUUGUUCUUCUGCUCUCAUAUCACAGUGAAUCGGUUCCUCAUUCUCUAGGUAAUUUCUCUCGCUAUUCUGUAGUGCCUCAUUUGCGGUAUUAUGGGCUUUUGUGUUUUUUUGUUUUCUGUAUGUGUUUGAACUCGAUCUUCUGGAAAUAUGGUUUCUUGCUCUGGAUAUCUCUGAUAAUUGCUCCAAUAACUAAGUAAUCAGUUGCAGUUGAAUGACAUUUCUUGAUUACUGUUAAUGAAUCGCCCAUUAUUUGUAUUUCUUGUAAACCCAUUUCGAUACCUAACUUGACUGCUUCUAACCCUGCAAAUGUUUCCGCGGCAAACAGAGAAGCAACAUUGCGAUGAAUAAUCGAUUUCAAAGCCAAUACCUCCUUCUUCAGACCCCUGACCACCAACCCCGACGAUGAUUUGAACUCUCUGUUGUUGAACACAACAUCAAACUGGAUCUUCACGGUCGGUAAGUCUUUCACAUUUCUUUAAUUUUGCACUGUAUGUGAUAAAGUCGACUUAACUUUAAUCCCUUUGUAUUCUGCCAUGUGGUUCUGAAUUUUUCGUGCAAGUUCUCUGCUCGUUGUGUGUACCCGUUCAUGCAAAAGUUGAUUCCUUGAAUGCCAAAGUAUCCAUAAGACAUAACAAAAAUAUCUGCAUUGUUCGUUUGUUCCUUAUUUGAAAACCACGGUGAGCCACUCCUAGAAAUUUUGAUGCACGAAAGUUGUGACCCAAGUAAGGUUUAAUAGCUGCCAGACCUCUAUGCUUGUGGAACAUUGCCGAAAAAUAUGAUGACAAUCUUCAUUUUCAUAACAUACCUAGGGCAUCUGGCAUUUGUCACUAAUCUUCUAUGCCGGAGAUUGCCCAAAGUAGGAAUGUAAUUCCAUGAAAUACGCCAGAUUAUGAUUGUAAUCUUAGACGGUAGUUGUAGUUUCCAUAGUUUCUAAAAAAUUUCUUGGUUUCGAUCUGUAACAAAUAAUGACUAGGAUUCAGAUUAACAAUUUGUAAUAGUUUAUAGGCGCUACGGACUGAGUAUUCCUCUGUUGGUUCGCCCCUCCAGACUUGGAAGUCCUCGUGCACUGAUUCCGAUAGUGGGAUCUGUAGGAUUGUGCGAGCAACCUCCGGGUGAAAGGUGUUGUUGAUCAGCUCUUCUUUUCAUUUCCUAGUUGUAGUAUCAAUAAGAUCCGAAACAAAUUCUAGUUGCAUACUAUCUAACUUGUUGUACCUUUUCAGUGAUUCCAUUUCUUGGACCCAUCGAUCAUUCCAGAUGGAUACUUUGUUCCCUUUACCGAUUCGCUAGCUUAGGCUUUGUUUAGCUGCCCAAAUGCUCUUCUAGGUAAGUGAAGGUAAAGUUCCUAAUUGAACCUCUAAGAAAGUCAAAUGCGAAUAAUAUUUUACUUUUAAAACCCUGACUAGUAAUGAAUUAGGAUAAUGAAUCGAAUGCCAUCUUUGUUUAGCAAGUAACGUAACAUUAAAUUGACUCAAAUUUCGAAAGCCUAGGCCGCCAUUCUCUUUUAAAAAACAAAGAUUUUUCCAAGUACACCAAUGAAUUCCCCUUUUCCCAUGUCCCUUCUGCCACCAAUACUUCGUUAUAAUAUUUUCAAGAUCAUCACAAAGGGAAUUAGGUAAUAGAAAACAUGCCAUCGUAUAAGUCGGAACUGCUUGAAGAAUUACUUUAAUAAAGACUUCUUUACCUCUUUGCGAUAAAAACUUGGUACUCUAAUUAUCAAUACGUUUUUUAAGGUGGUCCUUCAAAUUCUGAAAAGCUUUCUUCUUUCUCCUUCCCACCAUAUUCGGCAAUUCCAAAUAGCACUCUGUCUCGUUUGAACUUCGAACACCCAGUAAAUUGACAACCAUUUGCUUUUCUUCUUCUGAAGUGUUUUGCUGAAAAAUACAGUUGAUUUAUCAAAAUUCACACACUGCCCCGAACAAAGUUCGUAUUCUUCCAAUAUAUUUUUGAAUAGAUGCGCCCCUCUUCUUAUGGCUUCCUUAAAUAAGAUACAGUCGUCAGUAAAUAAAAGGUGUAAAAUCGGUGGACCAUUCUUGCUAACCUUCACUCCUCUUAGAAGUCCAUCCCAUUUUGCCAGCCGCAAUAGAUUGGAUAAUCCCUUACCACAUAAAAGAAAUAAAAAUGGGCUUAAUGGAUCACCUUGACAAAGUCCUCUAGUCGGUUGAAAUUUCUCUCCUCGAUGUCCGUUCAUGACCAUUGAAUAAGAAACAGUAGUAACACAUUGCAUAAUAGUAUCUACCCAUCUGUUUGCAAAACCCAUUUGAAUCAUUAUCUACUUUAUAAAUUCCCAUUCGAUCCUAUCAUAAGCUUUGCUCAUAUCGAGUUUAACUGCCAUGAACCCUUUUUUCCCCAUUCUUUUCUGCUUCAACGUAUUCAGGAUUUUGUAGGCUAACAGCACGUUGUCAAAUAUUAGUUUUUCUGGCACAAAGCGCUUUGUGCAGUAUCUAUACAUUUUCCAAUCACACGGUUCGCAAGAGUCUUUGCCAAGAUUUUAUAAAGAACAUUACAAAGACUAAUCGAACGAAAGUGCAUCAUAUUAGAAGGACUAGAAUUCUUCGGGAUUAGUACAAUAUUUGUAAAGUAAAAUGAUCUAACCUCUAUAUCACCGUUUAAAAGAUGUAAGUAGAAAUCGGCAACUUUAUCUCCAAUAAUGUGCCAGCAUUUCUGAUAAAACAGUCCUGGAAAUCUAUAUUCUCUCGGCGCCUUCGUAGAAUCCAUGUCAAACACUGCAAUUUGAAUUUCUUCUUUUGAAAUUUUUUUUGUUAAUUAUUUAUUAUCCUCCUCAUAUAUGCACCGUUCAAUACUUGAUAAAAAAUGGUCAUAAGGACCCCUUUGUUCUGUCGAAAAUAGUUGUUGAAAAUAAGAAUGAGCGAUUCCCUCAAUUUUCUGUAAGGUAUCCGUUUCCCUGCCAUUCUCAGUUUCCAACUUACGAAUACAAUUUUUCUUCUUACGUUGUGUUGCUUGGCUGUGAAAGAAUGCUGUAUUUUUAUCCUCAAAUUUCAACCAAUUUAGUCUGGCCCUCUGUUCCCAAUGCCGUUCAUCCUUCUCUAUUUCAAAAUUUAAUUGUAUUUUUGUAUCAAUCAACUCAGCUAAAUUAUUGUCAUCUCUAUCAGUAUCAUAUAGAUCUAAUAACUUAGCCGUAAAGCCUUCAUCUUCUUCUGUCGGUUCAUUUGAAUCUGUCCAGCCCAUUUGACUAAGCCCUUCUUCAGAUUUUCUAGCUUUUGCAUCAAGUCUCCUGAAGACAUCUCCCAAAUUUUAUUAACCUCACUAAGAAAAGAUUCAUCUAACACCCACUAGGCUUCAAAUUUGAAAAUUUUGUUCCUCAAUCUUCCCUUACAUUGUUUGUAUCAGUUAAAAGUGGAUAAUGGUCUGGAAAAGAAUGUACUAAAUGUUUCACUUUCACCUUCGGGAACAUGGAUAUCCAUCUCGCAUUGGCCACUCCUCUGUCUAACCGUUCUCGAAUAUUUGUCUCUGGAAGGUUGCCUCUUUCCCACGUGAACCAUCUACCAGAAUAUCCUACAUCAGACAUUUGACAAUCCUCCAGAGUUCUUCGAAAUAGAUCCAUUCUCCUUUCAUCCCUAGGUAUCUCUCUCUCUCUUUUUUUUUUCAGAUCCAUACAUUAUUUCAUUAAAAUCCCCAUAAAUAAACCAAGGGAUAUUAUCAACAACUUUUAAACUUCUCAAAACAUCCCACAAAUCAUUCCUGUCUUGUGCAUACGGGGACCCAUAAAAACCUGUAAAUCUCCAUUUGACUCCUAAUUCGCUAUCCUCAAUAUCCACAUCAAUGUACCUUUUUGAAUAAGAGCGAAGAAUGACCGAAACACCCAAUCUCCAUGCCAAACAUAAACCUCCUCUACUGCCCUCUGAAUCAACCUCAACACCAUUUCCAAAACCACAUUUUCGGUGCACCACUUCCAUCUGUCUCUUACCAAGCUUUGUCUCAAUAAAGAAGACAAUUUAGGGAUUAUACGUCUUCAAUAGAUGUCGAAGUCUAGGAAUCGUUCGUGGCCUCCCCAAACCACGGACAUUUUAACUUAAGAUUUUCAUUGCGCUCGGUCGGCUUGCCUCUUGGCAGCCGCCAAUGAUAAUUGGUUAGAUUCCAUCAAUCUCCUGCUCCUUACCAUUAAGCAGUCCAUAUCUUCUCUCUCCAAGAAGUCGUCCCUCGCUUCUCUAUUUCUCUUCUUUCCCUCUUCCCCAAUGAAGACACCUUCCUCCAAGUCAUACUCUAUCAUUGUUUGCAUCAAUUCUGACUGUAUAUUUUCCUUUUGAUUAUCAGAAGAUAAGGAUCCCCCUUUCAGAUUAAAACCCAAUACUGGAUCGAUAAUCUUUUUGCUCUUUCCAUUGUUAUCCACAUUCUAUAUUCGAUUAUUUGGGAUCCAAUUACUUCUCCUAUCCCCUUUACAACUCUCAUCAUUAUCUUCUCGAAGCUAGAUACUGUUCAUCGACAAGGCUCUACGUGAUUGGGCACGCAAAGACAGAUUCCACCCUAAUUCGGUAAUUUCCACCCCAAGCAACAUCUUAGCUUCACAAAACGAGCCGCUAUGCCCCAACUGACCACAGUAGAAACAGAACAGAGAUAAUCACUCAUACUUAAAUCUAACAUAUGAACAUUUUCCAUUGAACAUAACCUAUUUUUUCCUUUUCAAAGGUCGUCUGAUGUUAAUCUGGGCCUUUAUACGCAUGUAAUUACGAUUCUCCUUCCCCAAAUUUGCAUCAUCGUAUUCCAAAAAAUUCCCCAAGAAAUUACCCAAUUGUACUGCUAAUUUUUCAGAAAAUAAACCAACAGGGACAUCGUAAAUUUGGAUCCAAAAAGGGGUAAAUAUUAAUGACACCUUUAACGGGUCUUCCCCCAUUUGCAACUUAUAAAGAACCAACAAGUGAUUAUUAAAAGUCCAAGGUGAACCCUUUAUAACCCGCACCAUAUCAAUUAUGUGAAAAAAUUGGAAUAGGUACCUUUUAUCUCCUAGAUCCUGGAUCUGAACUCCACGAAUCGGAUGCCACAAAUUUGCCAUCGUGCUUUUCAUGGCUGGGAAGUGGAUUAUACUGGCCGUUAGAAAGCAACCUACUAGUUGGAAUUCACUCAUUUCUCUUCCUAUGAAUGAAUCCAUUGGAAUUUCCAAAAUUUAAUCCUCUUCUUCGUUAAGUGUCAGACCUGUUAAUUUAGUUUCCAUUGUUGUAGGUAUCGAACGCCAAACUAAAGAAUCCUUAAAUCAAGCAGGGACUAAAGGCUAAUUAGCAGAGCAAGACUUACAAAAAGAUGAAAGAAUGCCAAAAACAGAAGACAAAAAAAUAAGAAAACCUAGAUACUCAUGCCAGCGGCGGCAGACUUAGACUUGCUAGGGUAGCAGACUCUUCGUGUAUCCUUUAACUUAUAUACUUAAUCAAUUUAUUUAUUAAUUAUAGUUAACCUAAUUAAACAUAAUUAAAUAAAUUAAAUCUAAAUUAACACAUUUAGUGGAUUAAACUUCCACCACAAUUUGGUCAUAAUAUAGUGUUCUAAUUACUCAAUUGGUCCUUUAGCUAAUUAAAAUUUCAUAGUGAUUAAUUUUUACCACUUUUACAAUUUAGUUAUUGUAUCUUAAUUAACUAUCUAUUUGACAAAAUUAAGGGACCAAACUAUAAAUAACCUUUAUACUAACCUCGUAAAUAUUAUCAACUAUCGGAAAUGGAGUUCCGAAAUCGCUGUUUUCGACACCACUAAAAAACAGGUUGUUACAAAUUUGAUAAACACACAAGUUUAAAGGCUAAAAAAAAGCGAAAAAUUAAAUGGAAAACUAAAAUGACUUUUUUUUUGUAAUGUUGAAGAGACAAAAAGAAAAAAAAAAUUAGAUUAUUGGACUAGUAAAUAUAUGUGUAGAUAGUUGUUUGUCUUCAUUUGUAUACUCAAAUUCAUAACAACAUCCUAUUAUGGAAUAACUUAUAUUAUUAUAAAAGUUAAUUGCAUUAGAUAUUCCUAAACUAUGAUUUUUUAAAAUUGGUUUCCAAACUUCAAAAUGUUUUAAUUACAUCCUCAAACUAUCAAUAUUAUAACAAUCAUGUCCUAUUACUAAAACGGUUAAUUUAAUCAUUAAAUGACAUGUCAAAUCAUGUGUGGCAUAAUUUAAAACGAAAACUUUUAAAAAAAGUAGAACGUUAUUGCAUAAUUUUUAAAAAUUAAAAUUAAAAAUUAAAUAAAAAAGAAAUAGUGAAUGAUAAAGCUUUUGUAAAAGCUUCAAAAGCCUCUAAACUAGUAUUUUUACAUUUAUUAUUAUUAUUAUUAUCUCAUUAUAUGUUUUGAUGAUAUCUGCUCUUAUUGACAAAAUACUUAGAACUACCCAUAACUUCUCUCCAACUCACAAAUAGGAGGAUAAUGUGCUUCAACGCUCUCAAACUCACGUCCUCUUGCAUCGGCAAUAAUGUCCAUGCCAAUCGAGUUAAGACUUAAUCGACUUUCAAAAUAUUCAUUUCUCUUUAAAAAUUUCAUUUUAAACUAUGCCACAUAAGAUUUGACAUCUCAUUUAAUGGUUAAUUUAACUAUUUUAAUAAUGAAAUGACCUUAUUGAUAUAGCCUCGAUAAUUUAGGGAUUUAAUUAAGGAGCUUAAUAGUUUCUUAAAUUGAUAUCUUUAAUUUCACUCAUUGAAGAUUAUUUUUAGUUAAUAAAAUAUGAUUAAUAUAUUUUUCACGUGAAAUUUAAUCAUUUUAUUGAAAUAAUAUUUUAAUUAAGAUCAUUUUCAUUUAAUAAAUGAUGUUAAUAGGCUUGCUUAUAUGAAAUAAUUAUAUUUUUACUUGAAAUUUUAGAUCAUACAUUGUUAUGGAAAACUAAUUUAAUAAAAAAACGUACUUCAUAACUAUGUAUGUUAUUGUUAUAGGUGAAAAGCAGUUAUAGAAGGUUAAAAUAAAACAUAAAAAAUUGACUAUUCUAAAAAUUGUAUAAUGUAAUUACAAUUUAAUUUUGUUGAUACAAGAUUGCGGUUUGAAGGUUGGAGGUGGUUCAUUUAGAAGGCUAAGAGCCAUAAAUGACUAAGAAAAGUGAAGACAGGGAGAAAGAGAGAGCGUUUGGAGAUAGUUGAGUCGAGAGAGA